GUGGGGAAUAUUGGACAAUGGGCGCAAGCCUGAUCCAGCCAUGCCGCGUGAGUGAUGAAGGCCUUAGGGUUGUAAAGCUCUUUCAGUGGGGAAGAUAAUGACGGUACCCACAGAAGAAGCCCCGGCUAACUUCGUGCCAGCAGCCGCGGUAAUACGAAGGGGGCUAGCGUUGUUCGGAUUUACUGGGCGUAAAGCGCACGUAGGCGGAUCGUUAAGUCGGGGGUGAAAUCCUGGAGCUCAACUCCAGAACUGCCUUCGAUACUGGCGAUCUUGAGUCCGGAAGAGGUGAGUGGAACUCCUAGUGUAGAGGUGGAAUUCGUAGAUAUUAGGAAGAACACCAGUGGCGAAGGCGGCUCACUGGUCCGGUACUGACGCUGAGGUGCGAAAGCGUGGGGAGCAAACAGGAUUAGAAACCCCAGUAGUCC
RNAcentral lists this ribosomal RNA (425 nucleotides) under uncultured bacterium. RNAcentral's name for it is "bacterial SSU rRNA". It matches the Rfam family "Bacterial small subunit ribosomal RNA", at positions 354 to 796 of the family's 1533-position model. The record is from RNAcentral.